AACGAACGCUGGCGGCGUGCUUAACACAUGCAAGUCGAGCGGUAAGGCCCUUUCGGGGGUACACGAGCGGCGAACGGGUGAGUAACACGUGGGUGACCUGCCCUCAGCUCUGGGAUAAGCCUGGGAAACCGGGUCUAAUACCGGAUAUGACUCCAUGACGCAUGUUGUGGGGUGGAAAGCCUUGUGCGGCUGAGGAUGGGCCCGCGGCCUAUCAGCCUGUUGGUGGGGUGAUGGCCUACCAAGGCGACGACGGGUAGCCGGCCUGAGAGGGCGACCGGCCACACUGGGACUGAGACACGGCCCAGACUCCUACGGGAGGCAGCAGUGGGGAAUCUUGCGCAAUGGGCGAAAGCCUGACGCAGCGACGCCGCGUGAGGGAUGACGGCCU
RNAcentral lists this ribosomal RNA (388 nucleotides) under uncultured bacterium. RNAcentral describes it as "bacterial SSU rRNA". It matches the Rfam family "Bacterial small subunit ribosomal RNA", at positions 28 to 417 of the family's 1533-position model. The record is from RNAcentral.